AACAAACGCUGGCGGCGUGCCUAAUACAUGCAAGUCGAACGAGGAAAGCUUUCGGGUGAGUACUAGUGGCGCACGGGUGAGGAAUAUAUGGGUAAUCUGCCCUCGAGUUGGGGAUAACCAGUCGAAAGACUGGCUAAUACCGAAUAAGACCACAGGAUCUGCGGACCUAGGGGUUAAAGGUUUUGCGCUUGAGGAUGAGCCCAUACGGGAUUAGCUAGUUGGCGAGGUAAUGGCUCACCAAGUCUACGAUCCCUAACUGGUCUUAGAGGAUGAUCAGUCACACUGGAACUGAGACACGGUCCAGACUCCUACGGGAGGCAGCAGUAGGGAAUAUUGCACAAUGGGGGAAACCCUGAUGCAGCGACGCCGCGUGAGUGAUGAAGGCCUUCGGGUCGUAAAGCUCUGUCGUAUGGGACUAACACAAUGAAGGUACCAUGCAAGAAAGGAUCGGCUAACUUCGUGCCAGCAGCCGCCGUAA
Molecule: ribosomal RNA, 478 nt
Filed under: uncultured bacterium
Lineage: Bacteria
Description: partial 16S ribosomal RNA
Rfam family: Bacterial small subunit ribosomal RNA
Source: RNAcentral